This is an RNA transcript of Lycium ferocissimum, 4351 nucleotides long. RefSeq lists it as uncharacterized. The transcript has 3 exons. Lineage: Eukaryota; Viridiplantae; Streptophyta; Magnoliopsida; Solanales; Solanaceae. The record is from RefSeq and is a predicted model, not a curated record.
CUUAUCACAAAAAGGGUGAAGGGGUCACGUUUUUUUCCUAAUCUUGGGAGAGGAUAUUUUGUGUGGCACCCCCGCCCAUUUCCAUCAUCAUCAGUAUAUCACACAAUAGGGGUGGAAUGAUUUUUUGUAUAGAAAAACGGAUAGAGAGAUAGACCGAAAAAAAAAAUCAUCAUCAUCUUCAUCUCAAACACACACAGAGACACGAGAAAAGAGAGGCACAAAUAGAGGGAGACGGACAGAACAGAUAACAAAAUAUCCUCAACAUCAUCUUCUUCAAAUUUUUUAUUCACCUUAAGCACACACUCCAUUUUUGGGGGGGCUCUGUUUUUCGUUUCCUCCAAGCUAGACACAUACUCAUCUCCAUCAUUUUCCAUUUUUACUUUUUAAAACCCAAAUCACAAAACCACCAUGAACCACCGUAAACCGAACAACCCAGUUCCACCGUCAAAAUACCACCACUGUGUUCCAUCUCUAAACCAACCAACACCCACCGUUAAAUCAACCACCAUCCCCUUCAUGCCCUGCUACUAAUAGCUUUAGCCGAUUUUCUGUUUGGAGAUCUAGGUUUUUUAUCCGUUCACAUUGUGUUAAAGUUUGGGGUUUCGUUUGAGUUCCCGUAGUUAAGGUCAUUGGUUGAGGUUCUUCUGUCGAGAUUUCCGGUCGGCUCCGUUGCUCAGUUCAAUCAUCUGAGUUGCAGCAAUUUCAGAGUUAAAUUGAUAUACACAGAGUUUGUUACAGGCUGGUUCUAAUGACAUGGCAUGCAUGCGGAUUUUUUGGUCAGAUCUGAAAACCUGGUCUAGCCAGGGACAAAUGCACCGAAACUUGAAAAUUGUGCAGAAGAACAUUUGAGGAAACAAGUGGAGACAAGUAUGAUGGAAAAGUGGGAGACAAUAUCCAACAAUGCAUUUGUUAUGAAGAGAGACUAUAUGAUUCUUAUUUCUCAUUCUCAAAUUGCGUGUUUUGUGCUUGACAUUUUUAAGGAUUGGUAUGACGAAGGCAUUUCAUUCUGCUAUCUCAAUGUUGUGUCACCAUUUGCUACCCCUGUUGAGCCUUAGUUUUAUUUUCUUUCAUAUCCCUCUUUUGGAAUCAAAAUAGAGUUGGAAAAGAGCCAAAAAAAAAAAGAGACAGAUAGAAGGAUAAUGAAAAGAAAAAGAAAGAAGGAAACAAAAUCACACCAAAAAAAAAAAAAAAAAAAAAAAAAAAAGAAGAAGAAGAGAAAACACAAGAAAUGAGUUGUCGGAACUACGUCUGACCUGAUUCUUGUCUGGACAAGAUACGUAGGCAACCCUAUUCUGAGGUUCGGUCCAACCAAAGAAAAUUCAAAAUUUCUCAUUUCAAAGAAACUGGGACAGAAUUUAUUCUUCCUUUUUAGUCGAUUCCCAAGUUGUAAAUCUCACCCUCAUUAUUUUUUGUUGUUGUCUUCGAGCCUCCAUGCCACCCUUUUUGUUCAACCCUAUCCAAAAGCCGCGUUACAACCAAAGAAAAGACCUUCAGAUCAAUCGUUGAGAAUGUCAAGGCUGAGCACGCUAUGAGCAUAAGACAUUUGCAUCAUGAUCAUCACUUGCCUGCAUUAGCAUAAGGGAAGUGGGAGAAAAAAUGAAAAUGAGAGAGUCUUACUAGUGAAAAUCUUCAUAGGCACCAUAAGGCGACGGUGAGUUGAGAGAAUUAAAAAUGAGAGAGUCUUAUUGGUGAAAAAUCUCAUGGGCACCGUAAGGCGAUGGUGAGUUGAGAGAAUUGAAAAUGAGAGAGGUUUAGUGGUGAAAAAUCUUCGGAGCACCACUAGCCGAAUGAGAGUCAUGAACCUGAUGAAGAAGUCGGGAUGCGAAAGCCUAAUUUCAAAACAAGUUAUGAGAGCACAACAGGAGUUAAAGAAUAGAUUGAUUGAACAGAUCAGGCCGCUCAAUCCAAAAUGCAUGUCAUGACCAUUAGAGCCAGCGACCACAUUCAGAUAAGUGUCUUCUUUCCUUUUCUCCCAAUAAGGGAUAUUUCUUGUUGAAUAUCGCUUCUUUCCAUUUCUACAUCUUUUACUUCUUUUGUUUUGUUUCGUUGAGUCAAUCCAUGUAGAACGAGUGGAGAAAGGAUUUCAAGACUUGCUACCAGCUUUUCCAAUUGCGAAGCAAAACAUCUGUCUAGCACGUAGAGGUAACAUGAUUCAAAGUGGGGUAGAGUACCCAAUGAGUUAUCGUUCGUUGAUAGGUUCUGGAGUCAUGAAAAUAUAAGGGAUCAGUAGAGUUUGAAUUAAUAGGAACCAUGAAACAGAGGUGUUGGUAUUGGUUUAAAGUAAGAAAGUCACACCGGUAGCCAGAGUUUGGGUCAGUGGUCCAACGAGCCGACAACGAGCAUUGACUAUUUGAAAUCACAUCUAAAUAGGACAAGUGCAUGAGCAAUCACCUUCAGAACCAAGGCGCCAAACCAACCACAACAUUUUAAAACUCACAAUUUUUAUUUGUUUGAAACAGGAAUGGAUGUUAUCCUCAGAUCAAAGGUUCAAAGCUUCAAAAGGCACAACGUCUCAUUUUUGCCGAUGUAAAAGGCAAUGUCACAACAUAGGUUUGCAAGAAACAAAAAUUGAUCAACUUUUCAAUUAUGAAUACUAUCACCCUUAGGAGACGCACUUCCUAGUCCGGGUUGUAGGAGACGCACUUCCUAACCCAAAGCUCUACUCCUAGGAGAUGCACUUCCUAGUCGAGUCUUUCAGUUUAACCCCUAAGAGAUGCACUUAUUAGUCUGGGUCUUUUAGUUUUUACGUUUAGGAGACGCACUUCCUAAUUUGAACCAUAACUCAUAGGAGACGCACUUCCUAUUUUGGAUAUUUCUGGUUUUUGACUUUAGGAGACGCACUUCCUAAUGCGAACCUUUACUCCUAGGAGACGCACUUCCUAGUCGAGUCUUUCGGUUUAACCCUAAGAGAUGCACUUCUUAGUCUAGGUCAUUCAGUUUUUACGUUUAGGAGAUGCACUUCCUAAUUUGAACCAUAACUCAUAAGAGACGCACUUCCUAGUUUUGGAUAUUUUUGGUUUUUGACUUUAAGAGACGCACUCCCUAAUGCGAACCUUUACUCCUAGGAGGCGCACUUCCUAGUCGAGUCUUUCAGUUUAACCCCCAAGAGAUGCACUUCUUAGUCUGGGUCUUUCAGUUUUUACGUUUAGGAGACGUACUUCCUAAUUUGAACCUUAACUUAUAGGAGACGCACUUCCUAGUUUUGGAUAUUUCUAGUUUUUGACUUUAGGAGCACUUCCUAAUGCAAACCUUUACUCCUAAGAGACGCACUUUCUAGUUGAGUCUUUCAGUUUAACCGCUGAGAGAUGCACUUCUUAGUCUGAGUCUUUCUGGUUUUUGACCUUAGGAGACGCACUUCUUAAUGCAAACAUCUACUCCUAGGAGACACAUUUCCUAGUCGAGUCUUUCAAUUUAACCCCUAAGAGAUGCACUUCUUAGUCUGGGUCUUUCAGGUUUUUCUUUUAGGAGACGCACUUCUUAAUUUGAACCAUAACUCAUAAGAGAAGCACUUCCUAGUCGAGUCUUUCAGUUUAACCCCUAGGAGACGCGCUUCCUAGUCGAGUCUUUCAGUUUAACUCCUAAGAGAUGCACUUCUUAGUCUGGGUCUUUCAGUUUUUACGUUUAGGAGACGCACUUCCUAAUUUGAACCAUACCUCAUAACAGACGCACUUCCUAGUUUUGGAUAUUUCUGGUUUUUGACUUUAGGAGACGCACUUCCUAAUGCGAACCUCUACUCCUAGGAGAAGCACUUCCUAGUCGAGUCUUUCGGUUUAACCCCUAAGAGAUGCACUUCUUAGUCUGGGUUUUUCUAGUUUUUGACUUUAGGAGACGCACUUCCUAAUGCAAACCUCUACUCUUAGGAGAUGCACUUCCUAGUCAAGUCUUUCAGUUUAACCCCUAAGAGAUGCACUUCUUAGUCUGGGUCUUUCAGUUUUUGCUUUUAGGAGACGCACUUCCUCAUUUGAACCAUUACACCUAGGAGACGCACUUCCUAGUCAAAGUAUUUCAGUUUAACCCCUAAAAGGCGCACUUCUUAGUCUGGGUCUUUCAGAUUUUGCUUUUAGGAGACGCACUUCCUAAUUUAAACCGUAACACCUAGGAGACGCACUUCCUAGUCAGAAUAUUUCGGUUUAACCCUUAAAAGACGCACUUCUUAGUUUGGGCUUUUCACGUUUAGCUUUUAGGAGACGCACUUCCUAAUUGGAUUCAUUAGUCCUAGGAGGCGCACUUCCUAGUUUGAGUUUUCAGAUUCACCCCUGGGAGAUGCACUUCCUAGUUAGUACAUUUGAUUUUAUUUUCAUCGUUGAAUUACAUUACAUAUAGUUUAUGAUUUUGCUAACACUCACAAAAA